AGAGUUUGAUCCUGGCUCAGGAUGAACGCUAGCGGCAGGCCUAACACAUGCAAGUCGAGGGGUAACAGAGAGAAGCUUGCUUUUCUGCUGACGACCGGCGCACGGGUGCGUAACGCGUAUACAAUCUGCCUUAUACAGAGGGAUAGCCUUUAGAAAUGAAGAUUAAUACCUUAUAGUCUAUUUUUAUAGCAUUAUAUAAAUAGUAAAGCUUCGGUGGUAUAAGAUGAGUAUGCGUCCUAUUAGUUAGUUGGUAAGGUAACGGCUUACCAAGACAACGAUAGGUAGGGGCCCUGAGAGGGGGAUCCCCCACACUGGUACUGAGACACGGACCAGACUCCUACGGGAGGCAGCAGUGAGGAAUAUUGGACAAUGGAGGCAACUCUGAUCCAGCCAUGCCGCGUGCAGGAUGACGGCCCUAUGGGUUGUAAACUGCUUUUAUAUAGGAAGAAACCUUUUCACGUGUGAGAAGCUGACGGUACUAUAAGAAUAAGGACCGGCUAACUCCGUGCCAGCAGCCGCGGUAAUACGGAGGGUCCGAGCGUUAUCCGGAAUCAUUGGGUUUAAAGGGUCCGUAGGCGGGAAUCUAAGUCAGUGGUGAAAUCUUGCAGCUCAACUGUAAAAUUGCCAUUGAUACUGGAUUUCUUGAAUUAGUGUGAAGUGGUUAGAAUGUGUAGUGUAGCGGUGAAAUGCAUAGAUAUUACACAGAAUACCAAUUGCGAAGGCAGAUCACUAACACUAUAUUGACGCUGAGGGACGAAAGCGUGGGGAGCGAACAGGAUUAGAUACCCUGGUAGUCCACGCCGUAAACGAUGGAUACUAGCUGUUCGAUCUUCGGAUUGAGUGGCUAAGCGAAAGUGAUAAGUAUCCCACCUGGGGAGUACGUUCGCAAGAAUGAAACUCAAAGGAAUUGACGGGGGCCCGCACAAGCGGUGGAGCAUGUGGUUUAAUUCGAUGAUACGCGAGGAACCUUACCAGGGCUUAAAUGUAGUCUGACAGCUUUAGAGAUAGAGUUUUCUUCGGACAGAUUACAAGGUGCUGCAUGGUUGUCGUCAGCUCGUGCCGUGAGGUGUCAGGUUAAGUCCUAUAACGAGCGCAACCCCUGUUGUCAGUUGCCAGCGAGUAAUGUCGGGAACUCUAACAAGACUGCCGGUGCAAACCGUGAGGAAGGUGGGGAUGACGUCAAAUCAUCACGGCCCUUACGUCCUGGGCCACACACGUGCUACAAUGGCCGGUACAGAGAGCAGCCACUACGCGAGUAGGAGCGAAUCUUCAAAACCGGUCUCAGUUCGGAUCGGAGUC
This 1299-nucleotide ribosomal RNA is filed under the name metagenome. RNAcentral's name for it is "bacterial SSU rRNA". It matches the Rfam family "Bacterial small subunit ribosomal RNA", at positions 8 to 1305 of the family's 1533-position model. The record is from RNAcentral.